CCUUUAGUACCGGGAAUUGAAUGAGUUCACUCGCUCGACCACUGAGCCACACCCCCCAGACCUAUUUUUGUAUUUUAUUUAGAGAUAGGUUCUCACUGAGUUGCUUCUUAAUCGCAGGGAGAAAGCCGUUUGGGUGUCGCCUCCUCCAGGACGUCUUCCUUAAGGAAGGGCCCUUCCUCACCACACUCAAAUGUAAUCGGCAUCCAUCCUGUACAUUUGAUUGCACCCUGUUAUUUUACGGCAGGCACACCGUUCGCCCGCCGUUUGGAGCCAUUCCUCAUCUCCCCCACCGAAACAUGAGGCCCUAGAGGGUACUAGUCCUGUCAACGCCAGCAGUUGAGAGUGCUCAGCUAACCUUUGUAGGGGAAGGAAGCCGUGGGAGAGGACGUGAUGGACACCAGGGAAUGAACCAGAGAAGACGCGUGGAGGAGGCUACAAGCUGUAUAGGGGCUAAGGCCGGACACCUGAGUAGGGAUGCUCUGGGGAAGUGGGGAUCAGGCCCCCGGGAAAGGCUGGGGUAAAGUUUCUCUCUGCGGCAGAGUCGGCAUUUGCCUUUCCCAUCCAUUCUCUUUGCCUACAGCACUUCAGUUUCUUUGGUUUGAUCGCAGAAAAGCAAGAGGCUAUCAUGGGUGUAGGACUGACGCUCAGUCAGUCAUUUUCCCCCUGCCAGGCGGAAAGCCUGAUGAAUAGCCAGGACCAACAGAAACUGAGCGCUCUCUGUGUACUGCAUCUUUCAGUCCGCUCCACCGUGAGGUGGGUGUUAUUGUCCAGGGCCGAGUUUAGACUGAGCCAAGUCUUCUAGGAUAACAUUUUAAGGGAGUGCCCCUCUAAAAACUUUCCAGUAAUGGAGAUAAAUAAUAUUUUAGUGCAAUGUAUCUUACCCAUCAAGACGAUCAAAAUAUGCAUCUUGAUUACCAAGGCUUUUUUUUUUUUUGAGGGGGGUGCGUGUUUGUUUCUUUGCUCAAGGCCCCUGUCUGGCUCCUUUCACUCCACCCUGGUCCCCGCCUUGUUAUCAUCACCUCCAUUCUCCUGACCGGUGCUGAAUGGCAACCACGGGCCACAUGGAGCCCUGGAAAGGUGGUUCCUUGUAGUUCAGUGGUGCUGUGAGUGUAAAAUACAGUGUUCAAAUGUGGAACAUCUCGUUUGUGAUUUUACAUCUGUGUGGUGUUCAAGCGAGGUUUUGGAUUUAUCAAGGUAAAUAGAUAUUAUUUCAAGAUACUAAACUUGAUUUCCCCUCUUUUUUUUUUUUUUUUUCCUUUCAAAACCACUAUGUCCCCAGCCUUUUGAUCCAUGCUUUUAGAUACUGCCUUGACCUGAGGAAGAUUUGGCUCACAGGGCCUAGGAGUUGUCUUUUAUACUCCAUAAAGACUUGGCCUGGGAGGCCAAAAACCACCCUCCAACAAGGGCACAGAAGGAAUCACUUCCAUCUUCUCUUGUCUCUGGUAGCUCCCCAGGCUCCUGCAUGUCCAUGUCAGCUCAGUCCUUCAUAAAGGGCACUGAUGUGUCCAUGUGGAAGACACCCCACUGACAAGAUGGAUGAGGCAAGGCUGAACAAGGCCUUAAGGUGGCUUCAGAUGAGCUCUUCUUAAUCUUCCUACCCUGCAGCCUCCUCCUGCUUCCACAUACUUUGGACCUCUUGCGAGGCCCUCAGUAAAUGUAUGGAGAAUGUCAUUAAAAUUUUGCUUAGA
Long non-coding RNA from Marmota flaviventris (yellow-bellied marmot), 1688 nucleotides. RefSeq lists it as uncharacterized. Lineage: Eukaryota; Metazoa; Chordata; Mammalia; Rodentia; Sciuridae. The record is from RefSeq and is a predicted model, not a curated record.